GUAAAUAUAGUUUAACAAAAACAUUAGAUUGUGAAUCUAACAAUAGAAGCAUAAAAUUCUUAUUUACC
Non-coding RNA from Myotis davidii, 68 nucleotides. The record is from Rfam. Lineage: Eukaryota; Metazoa; Chordata; Mammalia; Chiroptera; Vespertilionidae.